RNAcentral lists this ribosomal RNA (358 nucleotides) under Salmonella enterica. Its description in RNAcentral is "partial 23S ribosomal RNA". It matches the Rfam family "Bacterial large subunit ribosomal RNA", at positions 165 to 561 of the family's 2925-position model. Lineage: Bacteria; Pseudomonadati; Pseudomonadota; Gammaproteobacteria; Enterobacterales; Enterobacteriaceae. The record is from RNAcentral. RNAcentral also lists the same sequence under 4 other names.
CAUAGGUUAAUGAGGCGAACCGGGGGAACUGAAACAUCUAAGUACCCCGAGGAAAAGAAAUCAACCGAGAUUCCCCCAGUAGCGGCGAGCGAACGGGGAGGAGCCCAGAGCCUGAAUCAGCAUGUGUGUUAGUGGAAGCGUCUGGAAAGGCGCGCGAUACAGGGUGACAGCCCCGUACACAAAAGCGCAUGUGCUGUGAGCUCGAUGAGUAGGGCGGGACACGUGGUAUCCUGUCUGAAUAUGGGGGGACCAUCCUCCAAGGCUAAAUACUCCUGACUGACCGAUAGUGAACCAGUACCGUGAGGGAAAGGCGAAAAGAACCCCGGCGAGGGGAGUGAAAAAGAACCUGAAACCGUGU